GGGCGGGUAGCUCAGUUGGUUAGAGCAUCGCGUUGACAUCGCGGAGGUCGCAGGUUCGAGCCCUGUCUCGCCCA
This 74-nucleotide transfer RNA is filed under the name Chloroflexota bacterium. RNAcentral describes it as "tRNA-Val". It matches the Rfam family "tRNA". From Rfam's summary of the family: Transfer RNA (tRNA) molecules are approximately 80 nucleotides in length. Their secondary structure includes four short double-helical elements and three loops (D, anti-codon, and T loops). Further hydrogen bonds mediate the characteristic L-shaped molecular structure. tRNAs have two regions of fundamental functional importance: the anti-codon, which is responsible for specific mRNA codon recognition, and the 3' end, to which the tRNAs corresponding amino acid is attached (by aminoacyl-tRNA synthetases). tRNAs cope with the degeneracy of the genetic code in two manners: having more than one tRNA (with a specific anti-codon) for a particular amino acid; and 'wobble' base-pairing, i.e. permitting non-standard base-pairing at the 3rd anti-codon position. The record is from RNAcentral. Lineage: Bacteria; Bacillati; Chloroflexota.